UGCGCCUUGCCAGCCCGCUCAGAAACUCGAAAGGAAUUGACGGGGGCCCGCACAAGCGGAGGAGCAUGUGGUUUAAUUCGAUGAUACGCGAGGAACCUUACCUGGGCUCGAACGUAAGAUGACUGUAGGUGAAAGCUUACAUCUCUUCGGAGCAUUUUACGAGGUGCUGCAUGGUUGUCGUCAGCUCGUGUCGUGAGAUGUUGGGUUAAGUCCCGCAACGAGCGCAACCCUUGCCUUUAGUUGCCAGCAGUUCGGCUGGGCACUCUAAAGGGACUGCCGGUGUUAAACCGGAGGAAGGUGGGGAUGACGUCAAGUCCUCAUGGCCUUUAUGACCAGGGCUACACACGUACUACAAUGGCCGAUACAAAGGGUAGCGACACUGCGAGGUGAAGCCAAUCCCGUAAAAUCGGUCUCAGUCCGGAUUGGAGUCUGCAACUCGACUCCAUGAAGUUGGAAUCGCUAGUAAUCGUGGAUCAGCAUGCCACGGUGAAUACGUUCCCGGGCCUU
This 507-nucleotide ribosomal RNA is filed under the name uncultured Desulfobulbus sp. RNAcentral's name for it is "bacterial SSU rRNA". It matches the Rfam family "Bacterial small subunit ribosomal RNA", at positions 903 to 1382 of the family's 1533-position model. Lineage: Bacteria; Pseudomonadati; Thermodesulfobacteriota; Desulfobulbia; Desulfobulbales; Desulfobulbaceae. The record is from RNAcentral.